UGAAAGACUUAAGAACUCUGAUCAAUGCAAUGACCAGCCAUGGCUGCUGAGGACCAGUGAUGAAGCAUGCUGUCCAUCCCCUGACAGAGGGGUGAUGGACAAAAGAGAAUGGCUUCUGAGGAGGCCCUGGAAUCCGAACUCAGUGGAGGAGAGAGCGAGGCUGAUGACUUCGCCCAGCUGCCAGUGCAUGUGCAGCUCCAUCCAUUGUGACUAUUUCUGCCCUCUGGAAUCAAGCAGAAUAAACUUUUUUCGACUUGAAGACAGCUGUCAUAUUCCCUCCUCCAAAUGGUCCCUUCCCCAGGCUAAGCAUCCCUUCGAUGCAUCCUCACAAAGCAUGAUUUGAAGAUUCCUUACUGGUUCGGUGUCCAGAAUCUCUACAUCUGAUCAAUGACAUGUAAGCUAAAGACAGAACUGGUCGGUUACACCACGGAAGACCACCAUGGUACCUUG
Phascolarctos cinereus (koala) is the source of this 450-nucleotide long non-coding RNA. RefSeq lists it as uncharacterized. The record is from RefSeq and is a predicted model, not a curated record. NCBI's taxonomy places the organism in Eukaryota, Metazoa, Chordata, Mammalia, Diprotodontia, Phascolarctidae.